AGGUAUACAUUUUCCAUGAAAAUGGAUCUAUGUUUGGAUUUGAUUAGUGGCUUUGACUCUGGAACCUCAAAAAAUUAGGUUCCGUGACCUGAUUUGGCAGCUUUUAACAAGGGUUCUUUUGCUUUAUGAUGAAAAUCGGUUGUCUUGAUUUUCUUCUAUAUUCUGUUUGAAAAACCAAAUCAUCUUCAUGAAGGCACUACUUGUAAAAAAAGGAGCAAGGAUCUGAAAAUGGAGGGAUUCAUUCCAUGUUGAUCGAGUGAGAGAGAUAUUCCACUAGAAGUUUCUGGUCAAGUGCAGGAUCUUUGCUGCAUGUUAACUUUGCUGCAUAGAAGUUGCAUUAUGCAUUUACGUCAUAGAAGUAAUAAAUGUCUGCAACUUUUCAAUUGCCUAGACCAUGAAAAUGUUUACAAUUAUCCAUACAUUCUCCUUGGUAUCAAGACUUCAAUGAUGCAAAGAAGCUCCAUGAAGUUCUCUUUUGUUGUUACCUGCAUUUAAGAUUUAUACAUAUGCAUUGUUUCCUUAAAGAAUUAAUUUGUUUAUAAAGCACUCACUUUUUCUAUAAUGCAGCAAAGUAUAUAAUACUGAGAGCUAAAAAAAUGAUUUUUCCUUGGUUAGAAAUGUUUUACGAUUUGGCUUUACGUUAUCGCUCACUUAUACAACCUACAGAUGCUAUGCUGUGAACUUGUCUAAUAUAGAAUGUACCCAUUGCAUAGUGGUUUAGGACCAUGGACUGCAUAAUGUGUGGCAUGGUAACUGGUUCGGUUUAUUGUAGUGCUGUAUGCAGUCUGCACAUCAGUAGAUAUGAUUGUUACUGUAUAAAUCAUGUCAUGCGCACAUGAAGACAUGAUUCAGGUUGUGUGUAUGAUUUACAGUUCAUCAUUUAUAAUUCUAUAAUCUUUCUGGCAGAUCCAACGAAAUUUACAGUUACGAAUAGAAGAACAGGGGAGGCACCUUCAAAUGAUGUUUGAGAAACAAUGCAAAUCAGGUAUUGACGUUGACAAGUUGAAGGCAGCUUCAUCUGCUUUGGAAAAUCCCUCUACUCUGUCCUCAGAUGCAAUCCAGGACUCCCCUGCCAAAAAUGAUUUGGAAACCGCCCAGGUAGACUGUGGCAAGACACCAACUGACACAAUUUAUGCCAACCCUGCACUAGAAGGAGGAUCACAGGAUCUGAAUAGAAAGCACAAGGUAUCGCCAACUGAAACUCCUGAAAAUUCUGAGCCAUACAAUACUGAUUCAAGUUUGCAGCCUGCAAAACGUCCAAGAACAGAUGCCUAGGCCAACAGCAUUGAAAUAACAGGUUGAUAGUGAUUCAUGGAGGAGUUUAAUCCUGAGUAGGACAGACUUAUAAAUAGAUCUUGAGAACUUUGAGGUUCUCCUGCUUCUGUUUAUGUGCCUCAUGCACACUCUAAUUAGUCCAUAAACAAGGUAGAUGGGAGAUUUUUUAUCGAAAUCUUUGUCCUCCUGUCUUGUACUCCUUUUUGUGAUGAGGCUAGAGGGUGUAUAAUUAUUGUGUAAACCAUUUUAUUAAUGGCAGAGAAUGGACUCCUCUUUCUGUGUUGAAUUGGUGUCUCCUAUUGUUUAGCUAUAAACGAUCUUCUAGCUCAAGCUUGGACAUGAGAAGUGUCGGUUUUGGCCAGCUUUCAGUACACACAACCCCUGCCACUGUUUAGAUAGAUUUGUGGAAUGUUGACAUUGCACCAAGGAAAGCUGUUCUGGUCUUGAUGAGUAACCAUGUGGAUUAAGCACAGGAGAUGACCUUUCACGCAAUUGAGUUGUGCCGUAUAGGUCAACCACUCAAUAUGCUGAAAACCCGUGGUUAUGCAAAUUCGAAUAGGUAACUAUCAGUUGACAGAAGAAUGCAGUGUUGCUUUAAAAAUAUUGGAUUACGAGGCAAAGCUUGAACCUUGUUGUCAGACAUAGCCAUAUAGGAGACCGAUCAAACAAACCAUUUUAAACAUGCAAUAUGAUAUCUUCAUCAUUUGGGUUUGAAGCAUUCUGUUGUAGGCAUAUGGGAAGAGUAGUGUCAGAAGAAUGGCCAAUCAAAAAGCUGAAGUUGCUUGAAAAGUGAUCCCUUUUUCGCCAAGUAACACUCCAUUUUUAUGAAGUAUUGAAAUGCACAAGCUUCUUGUGCAUGCGCUGACGAAAGCAGAACCUUAUCAGAGACUUAGUAUCAGAGCUGAUUGAAGCGCUUCUUGAUGGUGAUAUCAGCUGUAAGAAUGACAAAUUGGCCUUGAAUUUCUGAUGCACAGAGUUCCUUGCUGUCCUCAAGGAGGGCUGUGCCCAAGUGGGCUUCAUUGGAUCGAUGGAUUGUGACAAAUUUUACGAAAGUGGAAUGGAGGUAUCAUAGAUCAUUCGAUCUUUAGGGUAUUUGCAGGUUUUGUUAGAGAUUAGCAGUUUACAGUAAAUCAAAACAAGAGGAGGAAAAAACAAAGAAUUUAUUGGUAUAUCGAUGGCAGGCUGUAUUUUUAUGAUGUGAAUAUUCCUAAAUUUAUCUUGUUUUCUACAAUUUCUUUGUCGAGACCUUUCUUUGAAAGUUAGCAUCCAUAGGUGGGUGUAGACUGUGGAGUGUGACAGCAGGAAGGUGCAUGAUGUUUAAGCCUUCAAAAUCAGGGCGUAAGAAAUAAACUUGGUUGUAAAACCGAGCCUGGCCUAGGUCAUGAUUUUUUUUUUAAUUAAUUAGGGAGUUGAUCUCACAGAUCUGUGAGGAUCUGGUGAGAUUUAUUCAAUAAAUAUUUUUUUUAAUUUUUUUUAUCCAAAAUAAAUAAAUAAAUUUAAGUUAACCUGCCGAUCUAUAAAUUGAUCCAUUCACUUAUGACUCCGGCCAGGUGGGGUUGGUAAAACAAGACACUUCACUUGACCAAACAAAUGCAAUUAUUGUAAAAGAAAAUGAUCUCUCUAUAACUUAAUUAAAAAAAUAUUUUAGUUAACUCGAGUGAAUCAAUUAAAUCAAAUUAAUUUUUAUUUUUAUUUUUAAAAAUAUUAAAAUAAUAUAAUUUUAAUUUUUUUUAAAAUCAAAUUAAAUUUUAAAUGAAUUUUGCAGGUGAUAAGUUGAUUUAUCUAAAUCAAUUCUAACCUUAUUUAAUUUAAAAUUUAUUUUGAAUCAAUGUAGUAUUUGACAUUUAAGUAAUGAUUAUUUUUUACUUGAAAAUGCAUGAAAAUAAUAUAUUUUUUAAAAAAUUUAUUUUCAUAUCAACAAAUCAAAGCAAUAAAAAUUUAAUUUUAAACGUAAAAAAAUCAAAAUUUUGUAAAUCACAGUUUUUACUGGAAAAACAAAUAGAAACUACCACUACAUGCAUGUGCAUGUGCAUGCUUUUUUUUUUUUUUUUGAAAUUAAGUAGUUUGGUAUCUGAAACACCUUUGAGUCUAAGCGAGCUAAGACAGAACAAGCAAACUCUCUCUAUCCUUCUCCUACCCUCUACUUGACGUCUCUUAGACUCAAACCCACGACUUCUCAACUCACAGUUUGGUGCAUUACAUCUCUCGCAGCAUUACACACACUCAAAGCCACAGUUGAUAUCAGCUUCCAACCACCUCCUCUUUAAUACCCUCUCACCUCUCCUUCCUCUCCUCUCACCAUCCUUCUUUCACUUUCUCUUCAUCAGUUUUUUUCUUGCUGUUGUCCAUGGCUGGCCUUGUCACGGGCAGUUCACAGACCUUGCAUGCCAAAGAUGAGGUGCGUAUCAUCUUCUUAGUUUUACCUGUUAGUUCUUUGUCAUAAUCUUGUAAUGAGUAUUGUUUUAAUACUUGUAACGUACGUGCAUGGCAGCUGAGGCCUCCAACUCGCCAGUCUGCAACGUUGAAAAAAUGUAGAGUUUGUGGGGAUGAGAUUGGAGUUAAGGAAGAUGGAGAGGUGUUUGUUGCUUGUCAUGUGUGUGGCUUUCCUGUUUGUAGGCCUUGUUAUGAGUAUGAGAGGAGUGAAGGCAACCAGUCCUGUCCUCAGUGCAACACUCGAUAUAAGCGUCACAAAGGUUUGUCAAAGGUGCAUUUUCGUUUGUUAUAAGUAAACAUGUCAUGUCAAUCUAGUUCUUAACUAUGGUUAGUGUUGUGCAGGUUGUCCUAGAGUUCCUGGAGAUAAUGACGAUGAGGAUGCCAAUUUUGAUGAUUUUGAAGACGAAUUUCAGAUUAAGCAUCAUGAUCAUGACGAAUCCAAUCAGAAAAAUGUUUUUAGUCACACGGUAAAUCAAUUCAACAGAAACCAACCUCCUUAAUUUGUUGGCAUAAAUUAGAAUUUCUAGCUGAUUGAUGUCUGUUCAGUGAAUGGAGUUAUCAGUAAACCUGUCCACAAGAAUUAUUGUCCCCAUCUAAUGUUCAAAACCUGUUGAGUGAUUUGCUUCCUAAUCAUAAAUUAAUUAAACUAAUUUAGACUCUAAUUAUUGUUUAAUUUAUCGUUGAUAUCUUACUGAAUUCAAAGAAUAACCAUCUGUUAAUAGAGUAGGAAGAUCUUUAAGCUUGUGGGGUGAGUUUUGCAGGAAAUUGAGCACUACAAUGAACAGGAAAUGCACCCCAUUCGUCCGGCCUUUUCGUCAGCAGGAAGUGGUAUGCGAAUUUUGAUGAUAUGAUUUCACAUUAGGAUCUCUUUGGAAGAAGCUUUUUAUUUGUUCAUUCAUAUUCAUGUUCGUAUGGAUGAUCAGUUGCUGGUAAGGAUCUUGAAGGCGAGAAAGAGGGUUAUAGCAAUGCAGAAUGGCAAGAGAGGGUGGAGAAAUGGAAAGUUAGGCAAGAAAAGAGAGGUUUGGUGAGCAAAGAUGAUGGAGGAAAUGAUCAAGGAGAAGAAGAUGAGUACCUGUGAGUGUUUUUUGCAUCCUCAUCUUCUUCUUUGCAUUAAGAUGGUUCUGCUAUCGAUACU
Molecule: long non-coding RNA, 4843 nt
Filed under: Populus trichocarpa (black cottonwood)
Lineage: Eukaryota; Viridiplantae; Streptophyta; Magnoliopsida; Malpighiales; Salicaceae
Description: long non-coding RNA (PTRI_LNC000790)
Source: RNAcentral